Molecule: long non-coding RNA, 217 nt
Filed under: Olea europaea (common olive)
Lineage: Eukaryota; Viridiplantae; Streptophyta; Magnoliopsida; Lamiales; Oleaceae
Description: long non-coding RNA (OEUR_LNC013677)
Source: RNAcentral
AGAAAUAUGAGAAUGUGUAGAAUCAGUACACGCUUCCAUUAUCCUCGAAUUGAGAUAGUUUGUAUUUCAAGAAAAGUAUGUUCCAUGUGUUGCUGAUGAACAUUUUGAAUUUGUCAUCUGGGUCAUCUUAUUCUAGAGAUUCUUAAGGGGUUUAAUCAACAUGCACUGAUACUAUUUUAAUAAUUUCGAGUCUUCAUGUUGUGGUUCUGAAAAAGAU